UCUCAUCUCUGUGCUCUGCUCCAUCUGCUCCAUCUCUCAUCUCCAUCUGCUCCAUCUCUCUCUCUGUGCUCUGCUCCAUCUGCUCCAUCUCUCUCUCUGUGCUCUGCUCCAUCUCUCAUCUCGUCGCGAGAUUCUCGCGCCUGUGCCUCCACUCUCCUCUCGAUUGGACUGAUUCACCAUCGGCGUCGGCCGUUGCUCUCUAUCGGCUCUCCACGCGGCGUCGGGCAGUCGACAAUCUCUCAUCUUUAUGCUCUGCUCCAUCUCUCAUCUCGCCGCGAGAUUCUCGCACCUGUGCCUCCACUCUCCUCUUGACUGAACUGAUUCACCAUCGGCGUCGGUCGUUGCACUCUAUCGGCUCUCCACGCAUCGUCGGACAGUCGGCAAGUGCUUAUUCCACAGCCCUCAGUCGGCAAGUGUUAUUUUGACAAGUGUUAUUUGUUGUUGGUUGUUGAAUUUGUGUACGUUUGAUUGUUGAAUUUGUGUGUUGAAUGUUUGAUUGUUGAAUUUGUGUGUUGAAUUUGUG
RNAcentral lists this long non-coding RNA (523 nucleotides) under Manihot esculenta (cassava). Its description in RNAcentral is "long non-coding RNA (MESC_LNC011761)". The record is from RNAcentral. Lineage: Eukaryota; Viridiplantae; Streptophyta; Magnoliopsida; Malpighiales; Euphorbiaceae.